This is a non-coding RNA of Onthophagus taurus, 464 nucleotides long. Lineage: Eukaryota; Metazoa; Arthropoda; Insecta; Coleoptera; Scarabaeidae. The record is from RefSeq and is a predicted model, not a curated record.
UCUUUUUUUAAGUGUCAUUUUUGAGGUUUCGUUAAAAUGUAUUUAACUCAUUUUGCGUUAAAAAUAAAACUAGAAAUACUCAAAUAACCUCAAAAUUUCUAGUUUUAGUUUUUAUAACAUCAGCAGUAAGGCCGGUAAUUCUUAACGAUUUAUAAGAACCCAUCUUGCCCAACAGCUACAAAAAGUAAACUCCCGAGAACAUGAAAUAUCUACUUACUCAAAUUGCGAGUGGAGAUCCAACUCAAAGUUCUGAAUGUCAUUUCAUCCAUCUUUCUGAUCCGCUUCAGUUCUUUUGAAGCGCUAAUAUGAAACAAAAUCGACGAAGACGCAUUAACACAGUUUUAAACUAACACGGCCGUUUUCGAAGACAUCGGCCGCCCCGGCCCCAUCGCGGGCUUUGAACAUGAAAACCGCAUUUGUGAGAAUGAACAUUUCGUAGCUCGUUUUUUGUGGCUAUUUCAAAC